RNAcentral lists this ribosomal RNA (415 nucleotides) under Pseudocrangonyx sp. 5 KT-2016. RNAcentral's name for it is "partial 16S ribosomal RNA". Lineage: Eukaryota; Metazoa; Arthropoda; Malacostraca; Amphipoda; Pseudocrangonyctidae. The record is from RNAcentral.
GUAGCAGAAUAGUUUGUUCUUUAAUUGGGAGUUGGUAUGAAUGGUUAAACAAAAAAUAUCUUUUAUAUUAAAGUAAAGUAAAUUAAAGUUUAAGUUAAAAUGCUUAAAUAAUAUAAAGGGACGAUAAGACCCUAAAAGCUUUAUUUAUUUUUAAUAAAAUUAAAUAUUGUGAAUUGAUGUUUAAGAUGGAAUUAGCUGGGGAAGUGGUUUUGUAGAAUUAAAAUGGAGUAGGAUUAAGGUUUAAGUUGCGAGGUCUUUAAAAUAAGAGUUGACGGAUUAAGUUACUUUAGGGAUAACAGCGCAAUGGUUUUGGAGAGUUCUUAUUUAUAAAAUUAUGUGCGACCUCGAUGUUGAAUUAAAAAGUCUUAAGGGGGCAGGUAACCUAUAAGAGGGUUUGUUCAACCUUUCAAUUUUU